UAAAGAUAUUAGGAGUCAUUAAAGGGACCAAAAAACCAAAAUACAUAAUUUUUACUUUAUGUUCAUUAAGAAAUAUUCUAUUUUGAUCAAUGUGUUGAAAUUUUGCAUUAUGUGUUAAAAUAAUACUAAAUGAAGUUUUUCCAAAGCGCGCAAGUAUAAACAUUCUCAGAAGGACUUACACUGCAUCGGAUUGUAAGCGAUUACCCGG
Molecule: long non-coding RNA, 208 nt
Filed under: Mytilus galloprovincialis (Mediterranean mussel)
Lineage: Eukaryota; Metazoa; Mollusca; Bivalvia; Mytilida; Mytilidae
Source: RNAcentral